CAGUCGCCCGCGGGAAAACGUAGGUGGCAAGCGUUGUCCGGAAUUAUUGGGCGUAAAGGGCUCGCAGGCGGUUUCUUAAGUCUGAUGUGAAAGCCCCCGGCUCAACCGGGGAGGGUCAUUGGAAACUGGGAAACUUGAGUGCAGAAGAGGAGAGUGGAAUUCCACGUGUAGCGGUGAAAUGCGUAGAGAUGUGGAGGAACACCAGUGGCGAAGGCGACUCUCUGGUCUGUAACUGACGCUGAGGAGCGAAAGCGUGGGGAGCGAACAGGAUUAGAUACCCCUGUAGUCCCUGUCUCUUAUA
Molecule: ribosomal RNA, 301 nt
Filed under: uncultured bacterium
Lineage: Bacteria
Description: partial 16S ribosomal RNA
Rfam family: Bacterial small subunit ribosomal RNA
Source: RNAcentral